CUUGUUUGAGAUCUAUUUUUUUAUCAAAAUACAUUUUUCGACAGUGAUUUGACAUCAUUUUAACCCCAUAUUUUUCAAUAAAAUAAUAUUACACACAAACUCAAAACUUUUCCUUAUUUUUUAACCACACACUCUACAUCAUGACAGUAUUUCAAAAUGCAUUUUUCUAAAAAAAAAUAGGGCUCAAACAACCCCUAAAUAAAUACAAUAUUAAUAAUCAAUCAAAAAUAUAAUACUAAUAAUCAAUCAAAAUUAAUUCUCUCUCUCUCUAAUUACUUAAGUCCCCUGGCUACAACAUUACGGGCGCUCAUCGUCAUCACCAGAGACACCAUCAUUACAAUCCAACACAGGCCACAACCUCACAGCACCGCGCACUCAUCGCCUUUUCCUUGAAUCAGCGAUGCUCAUAGCCUUCUUCUUUUUCCCUCUUAAGUUUGAUUUUCGAUGGUUUCUUUUGUGCUAUUUGUGAUGAUUUGGGGUGUUGAUCACCAUUUUGCAAAGUAGGCAACGAUGAUGGGAGGAUGGUAUGGAGUGCUGCAUAUUGGGACAGGCGUUCGGGUUGCGGAUCUGUAGGCGGUGCUGUGGAUCUCCCCACUACUUUAUUUCACCCAUUCCGGGACUUCUCAUGGCGCUCACUCCGGCGACUAGCAUGGUGCAGAUCCAUUUUUCUUCCUUUUUAAAAUUUUUUUUUUUGAGUGGUAGAGGUGUUCAAUUUGGUGGUCGGAAUGGAGAGCUUUGGUGGGGGUGACAGUGAUAUGCUACCGUGUUGCUAUGGGUGCACUGGUGGUUCUGUGAUGCGGCGGAGGUCAUGUGUGAUGUGGUGGUAGGAAUGGAAAGCUCUGGUGGGUGCAACGAUGGUGUGCAGCUAUGUUGUUGUGGGUGAGUUUGUGGUAUUGUAGGUGUGAUGGUUGGAUGCGUGUGGUAUGUGGUGUAGUAUUGUGUACGAUGGUGUGGCGGUGUUGGCUCUGACAGUGUGCAGUGGUGUUGACUAAUUAUUGUGAUGUGAAAGGGAUGGCUCUAGCCGUGGUGGUGUUUGACGAAGGUGUGGUGGUGAGGUAAUAUUCACAAAAUGGUGGUGUGGUCUCAAAUUAUUUGGUUGAUUGUGAUCAAUAAAUUUGUUAAUUUGUGAUCAAUUCUUUGAUGUUGUGACUAAUAAAGUGGAUAUUUCGUGGCUAAUAAAUAAUGCAUGAUAGAUAAUUUGUGAUCAACAAAUAGUAUGUGACAUAAAGAUUUGUGGCUUGACUUAUUUUACUUGUCAUUUGUGAUCAAUAAAUGAAUUGUGAUAUAUAAAUUUUUUGAUUUGUG
RNAcentral lists this long non-coding RNA (1305 nucleotides) under Olea europaea subsp. europaea. The record is from RNAcentral. Lineage: Eukaryota; Viridiplantae; Streptophyta; Magnoliopsida; Lamiales; Oleaceae.